CUAGCUGUAAGCAAGCGUAUAUUGCUAUUUAAUGGGUAUGAUAGAGAACAAAAUCAGGAGACACAGAGAACAGGUGCAUAUGGAGAGCAUUAACAGGUGAGGAAAGAGGGAAAAAGAAAAGGAAAGAAUAGUCAGUUCACUAAAAGGGUGCAAGACAGCAUGGGCCACAUGGCAAAUUAAAGUGAGCCCCGCUCAGGAAUAGCAAGAGAAGAGAAAGAUGACUAGUUCCAAAAAAAAAACAAAGGGAAUGAGGAGCAACAGUAUGGGGCCUGGCUGUGAUAUGAGAUAACCACUAAAUAGGCCCUAUAGCCCAGAGCAACACCGACAUUGAAAGCCACCCUUUCUGAG
RNAcentral lists this long non-coding RNA (348 nucleotides) under Glycine max (soybean). Its description in RNAcentral is "long non-coding RNA (GMAX_LNC000940)". The record is from RNAcentral. Lineage: Eukaryota; Viridiplantae; Streptophyta; Magnoliopsida; Fabales; Fabaceae.